UAAUACGAAGGGGGCUAGCGUUGUUCGGAAUUACUGGGCGUAAAGCGCGCGUAGGCGGACACUUAAGUCAGGGGUGAAAUCCCGAGGCUCAACCUCGGAACUGCCUUUGAUACUGCGUGUCUGGAGUCCGGAAGAGGUUGGUGGAAUUCCGAGUGUAGAGGUGAAAUUCGUAGAUAUUCGGAGGAACACCAGAGGCGAAGGCGGCCAACUGGUCCGGUACUGACGCUGAGGCGCGAAAGCGUGGGGAGCAAACAGGAUUAGAUACCCUGGUAGUCCACGCCGUAAACGAUGGAUGCCAGCCGUUGGCAGGCUUGCCUGUCAGUGGCGCAGCUAACGCAUUAAGCAUCCCGCCUGGGGAGUACGGUCGCAAGAUUA
RNAcentral lists this ribosomal RNA (375 nucleotides) under uncultured bacterium. RNAcentral's name for it is "bacterial SSU rRNA". It matches the Rfam family "Bacterial small subunit ribosomal RNA", at positions 521 to 896 of the family's 1533-position model. The record is from RNAcentral.